This 332-nucleotide ribosomal RNA is filed under the name uncultured bacterium. Its description in RNAcentral is "bacterial SSU rRNA". It matches the Rfam family "Bacterial small subunit ribosomal RNA", at positions 568 to 898 of the family's 1533-position model. The record is from RNAcentral.
CAUGUAGGCGGUCUGCUAAGUUCGGAGUGACAGUCACCAGCUUAACUGGUGAAGUGCUUUGAAAACUGGCUGACUUGAGAGCGAGAGAGGGACACGGAAUUCCGGGUGGAGCAGUGAAAUGCGUAGAGAUCCGGAGGAACACCGAAGGCGAAGGCAGUGUCCUGGCUCGUUUCUGACGCUGAGGUGCGAAAGCCAGGGGAGCGAACGGGAUUAGAUACCCCGGUAGUCCUGGCCGUAAACGGUGACCACCAGGCGUGGGAGGGAUCGACCCCUCCUGUGCCGUAGUCAACACAUUAAGUGGUCCGCCUGGGGAGUACGGUCGCAAGACUAAA